UGAGAGAGCGACCGGCCACACUGGAACUGAGACACGGUCCAGACUCCUACGAGAGGCAGCAGUAGAGAAUCUUCCGCAAUGGGCGCAAGCCUGACGGAGCAACGCCGCGUGAGCGAAGAAGGCCUUCGGGUCGUAAAGCUCUGUCCCGGGGGAAGAACAAAUGACGGUACCCCGGGAGGAAGCCCCGGCUAACUACGUGCCAGCAGCCGCGGUAAAACGUAGGGGGCGAGCGUUGUCCGGAAUUACUGGGCGUAAAGGGCGUGUAGGCGGUUGCGCAAGUCAGUAGUGAAACCCGCCGGCUUAACCGGCGGCUGGCUACUGAAACUGCGCGACUUGAGUGCAGUAGAGGGGAGUGGAAUUCCCAGUGUAGCGGUGAAAUGCGUAGAUAUUGGGAGGAACACCAGUGGCGAAAGCGGCUCCCUGGCCUGUAACUGACGCUGAGGCGCGAAAGCGUGGGUAGCAAACAGGAUUAGAUACCCUGGUAGUCCACGCCGUAAACGAUGGGUGCUAGGUGUUGCGGGUAUCGACCCCCGCAGUGCCGCAGUUAACGCAAUAAGCACCCCGCCUGGGGAGUACGGCCGCAAGGCUGAAACUCAAAGGAAUUGACGGGGGCCCGCACAAGCGGUGGAGCAUGUGGUUUAAUUCGACGCAACGCGAAGAACCUUACCAGGUCUUGACAUCCCCUGCCAGUCGUAGAAAUACGACCUUCUCCUUUGUGGAGACAGGGAGACAGGUGGUGCAUGGUUGUCGUCAGCUCGUGUCGUGAGAUGUUGGGUUAAGUCCCGCAACGAGCGCAACCCCUACCUUUAGUUGCCAGCAAGUAAAGUUGGGCACUCUGGAGGGACUGCCGUUGACAAAACGGAGGAAGG
Molecule: ribosomal RNA, 869 nt
Filed under: uncultured Peptococcaceae bacterium
Lineage: Bacteria; Bacillati; Bacillota; Clostridia; Eubacteriales; Peptococcaceae
Description: bacterial SSU rRNA
Rfam family: Bacterial small subunit ribosomal RNA
Source: RNAcentral